This 504-nucleotide ribosomal RNA is filed under the name uncultured bacterium. RNAcentral describes it as "bacterial SSU rRNA". It matches the Rfam family "Bacterial small subunit ribosomal RNA", at positions 791 to 1301 of the family's 1533-position model. The record is from RNAcentral.
UAGUCCACGCCGUAAACGAUCAUCACUCGCUGUUGGCGAUAUACUGUCAGCGGCCAAGCGAAAGUAUUAAGUGAUGCACCUGGGGAGUACGCCGGCAACGGUGAAACUCAAAGGAAUUGACGGGGGCCCGCACAAGCGGUGGAGCAUGUGGUUUAAUUCGAUGAUACGCGAGGAACCUUACCAGGGCUUAAAUGUAGUCUGACAGCUUUAGAGAUAGAGUUUUCUUCGGACAGAUUACAAGGUGCUGCAUGGUUGUCGUCAGCUCGUGCCGUGAGGUGUCAGGUUAAGUCCUAUAACGAGCGCAACCCCUGUUGUUAGUUGCCAGCGAGUAAUGUCGGGAACUCUAACAAGACUGCCGGUGCAAACCGUGAGGAAGGUGGGGAUGACGUCAAAUCAUCACGGCCCUUACGUCCUGGGCCACACACGUGCUACAAUGGCCGGUACAGAGAGUAGCCACUACGCGAGUAGGAGCGAAUCUUCAAAACCGGUCUCAGUUCGGAUCGG